AGUGAACGCUGGCGGUAGGCCUAACACAUGCAAGUCGAACGGCAGCACAGUAAGAGCUUGCUCUUACGGGUGGCGAGUGGCGGACGGGUGAGGAAUACAUCGGAAUCUACUUUUUCGUGGGGGAUAACGUAGGGAAACUUACGCUAAUACCGCAUACGACCUACGGGUGAAAGCAGGGGAUCUUCGGACCUUGCGCGAUUGAAUGAGCCGAUGUCGGAUUAGCUAGUUGGCGGGGUAAAGGCCCACCAAGGCGACGAUCCGUAGCUGGUCUGAGAGGAUGGUCAGCCACCCUGGAACUGGGCCACGGUCCAGACUCCUACGGGAGGCAGCAGUGGGGAAUGUUGGACAAUGGGCGCGAGCCUGAUCCAGCCAUACCACGUGGGUGAAGAAGGCCUUCGGGUUGUAAAGCCCUUUUGUUGGGAAAGAAAAGCAGCAGGUUAAUACCCCGCUGUUCUGACGGUACCCAAAGAAUAAGCACCGGCUAACUUCGUG
This 492-nucleotide ribosomal RNA is filed under the name uncultured bacterium. RNAcentral's name for it is "partial 16S ribosomal RNA". It matches the Rfam family "Bacterial small subunit ribosomal RNA", at positions 29 to 507 of the family's 1533-position model. The record is from RNAcentral.